RNAcentral lists this ribosomal RNA (450 nucleotides) under uncultured bacterium. RNAcentral's name for it is "partial 16S ribosomal RNA". It matches the Rfam family "Bacterial small subunit ribosomal RNA", at positions 354 to 796 of the family's 1533-position model. The record is from RNAcentral.
GUGGGGAAUUUUGGACAAUGGGCGAAAGCCUGAUCCAGCAAUGCCGCGUGUGUGAAGAAGGCCUUCGGGUUGUAAAGCACUUUUGUCCGGGAAGAAAUCUUCCAGGUUAAUACCCUGGGAGGCUGACGGUACCGGAAGAAUAAGCACCGGCUAACUUCGUGCCAGCAGCCGCGGUAAUACGAAGGGUGCAAGCGUUACUCGGAAUUACUGGGCGUAAAGCGUGCGUAGGUGGUUCGUUAAGUCUGCCGUGAAAGCCGCGGGCUCAACCUGGGAAUGGCGGUGGAUACUGGCGGGCUAGAGUGCGGUAGGGGGUGGUGGAAUGCCCGGUGUAGCAGUGAAAUGCGUAGAGAUCGGGAGGAACAUCUGUGGCGAAGGCGGCCACCUGGACCAGCACUGACACUGAGGCACGAAAGCGUGGGGAGCAAACAGGAUUAGAAACCCCUGUAGUCC